GGCUCAGGAUGAACGCUGGCGGCGUGCUUAACACAUGCAAGUCGAACGAUGAAGCCCAGCUUGCUGGGUGGAUUAGUGGCGAACGGGUGAGUAACACGUGAGCAACCUGCCCCUGACUCUGGGAUAAGCGCUGGAAACGGCGUCUAAUACUGGAUACGAACCAUGAAGGCAUCUUCAGUGGUUGGAAAGAUUUAUUGGUUGGGGAUGGGCUCGCGGCCUAUCAGCUUGUUGGUGAGGUAAUGGCUCACCAAGGCGUCGACGGGUAGCCGGCCUGAGAGGGUGACCGGCCACACUGGGACUGAGACACGGCCCAGACUCCUACGGGAGGCAGCAGUGGGGAAUAUUGCACAAUGGGCGCAAGCCUGAUGCAGCAACGCCGCGUGAGGGAUGACGGCCUUCGGGUUGUAAACCUCUUUUAGCAGGGAAGAAGCGAAAGUGACGGUACCUGCAGAAAAAGCACCGGCUAACUACGUGCCAGCAGCCGCGGUAAUACGUAGGGUGCAAGCGUUAUCCGGAAUUAUUGGGCGUAAAGAGCUCGUAGGCGGUUUGUCGCGUCUGCUGUGAAAUCUGGGGGCUCAACCCCCAGCCUGCAGUGGGUACGGGCAGACUAGAGUGCGGUAGGGGAGAUUGGAAUUCCUGGUGUAGCGGUGGAAUGCGCAGAUAUCAGGAGGAACACCGAUGGCGAAGGCAGAUCUCUGGGCCGUAACUGACGCUGAGGAGCGAAAGGGUGGGGAGCAAACAGGCUUAGAUACCCUGGUAGUCCACCCCGUAAAC
This 774-nucleotide ribosomal RNA is filed under the name Microbacterium sp. RNAcentral's name for it is "bacterial SSU rRNA". It matches the Rfam family "Bacterial small subunit ribosomal RNA", at positions 21 to 807 of the family's 1533-position model. The record is from RNAcentral. Lineage: Bacteria; Bacillati; Actinomycetota; Actinomycetes; Micrococcales; Microbacteriaceae.